UCCGGUUGAUCCUGCCGGAGGCUACUGCUAUUGGAAUUCGACUAAGCCAUGCGAGUCAAGGUGUCUUCGGACGCCGGCAUACGGCUCAGUAACACGUAGGUAACCUACCCUCAGGACUGAGAUAACCCCGGGAAACUGGGGCUAAUAUUAGAUAGAUAAAAGAUACUGGAAUGUUCUUUUAUCCAAAGCUUUUGCGCCUGAGGAUGGGCCUGCGCCCGAUUAGGUUGUUGGUGGGGUAAUGGCCCACCAAGCCUACGAUCGGUACGGGCAGUGGGAGCUGAAGCCCGGAGUUGGGGACUGAGACAAGGCCCCAGGCCCUACGGGGCGCAGCAGGCGCGAAACCUCUGCAAUGCGGGAAACCGUGACAGGGGGAUUCCAAGUGCUCAUGCAUUGCAUGGGCUGUUCUUUGGUCUAAGUAACCAGAGGAGUAAGGGCUGGGCAAGACCGGUGCCAGCCGCCGCGGUAAUACCGGCAGCUCAAGUGGUAGCCGCGAUUAUUGGGCCUAAAACGUUCGUAGCCGGAUAAGUAAGUCUUUGGUUAAAUCCUGCGACUUAACCGUGGGAAAUCUAGAGAUACUGCUUGUCUUGAGACCGGGAGAGGUUGGAGGUACUCCCAGGGUAGGGGUGAAAUCCUGUAAUCCUGGGGGGACCACCUGUGGCGAAGGCGUCCAACUGGAACGGGUCUGACGGUGAGGGACGAAACCUAGGGGAGCGAGCCGGACUAGAUACCCGGGUAGUCCUAGGCGUAAAUGAUGCGAGUUAAGUGUGGGGGCAUCCACGAGAUGGCCCUGUGCUGUAGGGUAGCCGUUAAACUCGCUGCCUGGGGAGUACGGUCGCAAGGCUGAAACUUAAAGGAGUUGGCGGGGGAGCACCACAAGAGGUGGAGGCUGCGGUUCAAUUGGAUUCAACGCCGGG
This 914-nucleotide ribosomal RNA is filed under the name archaeon enrichment culture clone C4-54C-A. RNAcentral describes it as "bacterial SSU rRNA". It matches the Rfam family "Archaeal small subunit ribosomal RNA", at positions 1 to 922 of the family's 1478-position model. The record is from RNAcentral.